Molecule: ribosomal RNA, 443 nt
Filed under: uncultured bacterium
Lineage: Bacteria
Description: partial 16S ribosomal RNA
Rfam family: Bacterial small subunit ribosomal RNA
Source: RNAcentral
CCUACGGGGGGCAGCAGUGGGGAAUAUUGCACAAUGGGCGAAAGCCUGAUGCAGCAACGCCGCGUGAAGGAAGAAGGGUUUCGGCUCGUAAACUUCUAUUAACAGGGACGAAAGAAAUGACGGUACCUGAAUAAGAAGCCCCGGCUAACUACGUGCCAGUAGCCGCGGUAAUACGUAGGGGGCAAGCGUUAUCCGGAAUUACUGGGUGUAAAGGGUGAGUAGGCGGCAUGGUAAGCCAGAUGUGAAAGCCUUGGGCUUAACCCGAGGAUUGCAUUUGGAACUAUCAAGCUAGAGUACAGGAGAGGAAAGCGGAAUUCCUAGUGUAGCGGUGAAAUGCGUAGAUAUCACACAGAACACCGAUUGCGAAGGCAUCUCACGAAUCCGCGAUUGACGCUGAUGCACGAAAGCGUGGGUAUCAAACAGGAUUAGAUACCCGUGUAGUC